Molecule: unclassified non-coding RNA, 338 nt
Filed under: Hevea brasiliensis (rubber tree)
Lineage: Eukaryota; Viridiplantae; Streptophyta; Magnoliopsida; Malpighiales; Euphorbiaceae
Source: RNAcentral
AGAGAGAGGGAGAGAGAGAGAGAAGGACCAAUCAGAAUAAGCUACAAACAACUUACAACAAUCACUUGAUGGACCAUGCCAUUCGCUAAGCCCUCUGGCAAUUGGUUGCCCAAAAUGAACUUGGGUUAACAUAAAAACUAAAUGCCUCUGUGCACGGGAUGGCUACUUCAAAAGUCCCCAUCCUGAACCUCUCCUCUCUUUCUUUAACCUUUCAUAUGGCAAAGGUAAUCCAACCCAUUACAGUAAAUCCAAAAGAGGCGGCUGUCCCGACUGUGGUUUGGCAUGGUUAGGCCUUGAGGUAGAUGUGGCCCCCCUUCCUCUUCCUCUGCCCACAGCAG